Molecule: ribosomal RNA, 406 nt
Filed under: uncultured bacterium
Lineage: Bacteria
Description: partial 16S ribosomal RNA
Rfam family: Bacterial small subunit ribosomal RNA
Source: RNAcentral
AUUGAACGCUGGCGGCAGGCCUAACACAUGCAAGUCGAGCGAGCGGCGGACGGGUGAGUAAUAUAUGGGGUUCUGCCCGAUAGAGGGGGAUAACUACUGGAAACGGUUGCUAAUACCGACUAAUAACGGAUCAAUCCAUUUGGGGUUAGUUAGUAGGUGGGGUAAAGGCUCACCUAGGCGACGAUCUCUAGCUGGUCUGAGAGGAUGAUCAGCCACACUGGUACUGAGACACGGCCCAGACCCCUACGGGAGGCAGGAGUGGGGAAUAUUGCACAAUGGGCUCAAGCGUGAUGCAGCCAUGCCGCGUGUAUGAAAAAGGCCUUAGGGUUGUAAAGUACUUUCAGCGGGGAGGCGUUACCCGCAGAAGAAGCACCGGCUAACUCCGUGCCAGCAGCCGCGGUAAUAC